CAGUCGCCGCGGUAAUACGGAGGGUGCAAGCGUUGUCCGGAUUUAUUGGGUUUAAAGGGUGCGUAGGCGGCUAUUUAAGUCAGCGGUGAAAGACUCCGGCUCAACCGGAGCAGUGCCAUUGAUACUGGAUAGCUUGAGUGUUGGAGGGGUACAUGGAAUUGAUGGUGUAGCGGUGAAAUGCAUAGAUACCAUCAGGAACACCGAUAGCGAAGGCAUUGUACUGGCCAACAACUGACGCUGAGGCACGAAAGCAUGGGGAGCGAACAGGAUUAGAGACCCCUGUAGUCCCUGUCUCUUAUAC
Molecule: ribosomal RNA, 301 nt
Filed under: uncultured bacterium
Lineage: Bacteria
Description: partial 16S ribosomal RNA
Rfam family: Bacterial small subunit ribosomal RNA
Source: RNAcentral